This 2076-nucleotide long non-coding RNA is filed under the name Gossypium raimondii (Peruvian cotton). RNAcentral's name for it is "long non-coding RNA (GRAI_LNC002427)". Lineage: Eukaryota; Viridiplantae; Streptophyta; Magnoliopsida; Malvales; Malvaceae. The record is from RNAcentral.
GGCAUAUUAUGUGAAUUGAUGAUGAAAUGAAAUGAGAUACAAUAUGUGAAUUAGUUAUAUCAUGUAAUUCGAUCAUUGGUACUCUAUUAAAUGUUCGAUCAGUGUCAGAUAUAGUUAGCAUGUCAUAGGAUUAGAUUGUGUUCAAGUUAUACUUUGGUUAUACGUCGAUAAGCACUGGGCGCAUUUUACUUCGAAUGUUCCGAUGAGUGUUGAGCACACUUUUACUUCGGUUAUACCAAUGAGUGUUUGGCACAAUGUAUACUUCAGACGUUCUGAUGAGGCACUAGGUGUCAGAUUGGUGUGUUGGCCGGAUGAUCCACGUAUCUAUCCCGAGUCUGAGUUAGGUUAAUAGGGAUUAUAAAAUAUGAACUUGAUAAAUGAUAGUGAAUUGAGAUGAUACCAAUGAGUGUUUGGCACAAUGUAUACUUCAGACGUUCUGAUGAGGCACUAGGUGUCAGAUUGGUGUGUUGGCCGGAUGAUCCACGUAUCUAUCCCGAGUCUGAGUUAGGUUAAUAGGGAUUAUAAAAUAUGAACUUGAUAAAUGAUAGUGAAUUGAGAUGAUAAUAUGAAACAGUACCAUAUGUGUAUAAAUGUGAAAUGUGACUAAAGAUAGCAUGUGAAAGAUCAUGUGAUCCGGUUAUAAACGAGCCCGGGGGCCAAAUCAAACAUAAACGAGUCAACAGACUUGAGAGAGAUAAUUGAAUCGUGAAAUGAAAGAUUAGAUGACAUUGGUUGAAAAUGAGAAUUGAGUACAUAUUUUAGAUGUGUGUGUGUAUAUAUAUGUGUGUGAAAUUGAAAUGGAAUUGAUUGUAUCUUUGUUAAUAGAAAGUAUGGUAAAGAAUGUUUCAAUUGAUUAUCAAAUAAGCUAGUGUAUGAGAUUGACAUUUGAGUAAUGAACAUGUAAAUUGACAUGGUUGAAUCAUAGCAUUGAACUUUUAUUGUGAUUAUACUCAUUUUAUGACUUGAAUCAUGAAAGUACCACUGAGCUUUUUCACCCAACGUAUAGUUUGUUUAUUCUGAUUAUGCUCAUUUUCUUGACUUAAUUUAUAUCGAGUUGACUUAUGAUACUAAUGCAGAUACACGCUUAAAUAAUAAUAUAAACAAUCUUUUAUAAUACAUAAACUAAUAAAUACACAUAUUGAUAAACUAAUAAAUAGACAUGUAAAAUCUAACUUGAAUUUUAAAAUUUAACGUGAGUAAUGACCAAAAAUAAAAAUUUAUGUGAUUAAUACGAAUCCAAAUAUGAUUCAAUAUAUAAUAUUUGAUUAUAAAAUCAAUUACUCGAAUCAACUUAUCCUGAAAAUUAUCUGAAUUAAAAAUUAAUUUUAACUCAAAGUGACUCGAGCAAAUAACUUGAAAUAACCUAAGUUUAAGUGCCAAUCGUGUCAUACAUAAAAAAAAAAUUGUCAAUUAUGUCAAGACUUAUUGAGAAUUAUGGUUAAAACUCUCAUCUAGCAUUUAGAUAACACUAGUUCGAUAAAAAAAAUUAAUGUCAACCAUAAAUGACAAAACUUGAAAUUAUCGAAACUCGAAAUGACCAUACUCAACAAACUUCACUAAUAAUCUCAAAUAAUCCGAAUCCAAAAUAACUUAAAUUUAAAACAACUCAAAUCCAAAUCUUACUCAAAUAUUGAAAUUAAAAAAUUUUAAAAUUCAAAUUAACUGUUUAAAACCAGCCCUACCAUCUAAUAAACAAAUCAACUAAUAAAAUCUUAUUCUCUUUCAUGCAUAUUCCCAUGAAAACUUCUAAAAGUUGUAGUGAUUCUCACUCUUAAAAAAUACCAAAAAAGAAAAAUUAAGUGUAAUAGUAAAGUAUAUUACAUUCUUAAAAUUAUAAUUCAAGUUUGAAUUUUAAAAACGAGAUUAAUGAGAUAAAUAUCCACAAACCUCGAAAGAAAUAUUUUCCGUAGGUCAUAAAAUCAACAAAGAAGUCGAUUCCAUAAAUGUGUCUCCUUGCUCUUCCCCUUUCGUUAUUCUCCCCAAUGAAGCAUAAAUGUUGAAUGUAUGACAUUCCUCUUUAAAUAGAAAAGAUUAAAAAAGGGUUUAGGAGAAUAAUGUAAUUUCUGAGUAUGAAAG